AACAAGGCGUACCUGCGGACCUGCGGAAGGAUCAUUACCGAGUUUACAACUCCCAAACCCCUGUGAACAUACCUAUACGUUGCCUCGGCGGAUCAGCCCGCGCCCCGUAAAAAGGGACGGCCCGCCCGAGGACCCCUAAACUCUGUUUUUAGUGGAACUUCUGAGUAAAACAAACAAAUAAAUCAAAACUUUCAACAACGGAUCU
RNAcentral lists this unclassified non-coding RNA (205 nucleotides) under soil metagenome. Its description in RNAcentral is "partial contains 5.8S ribosomal RNA, internal transcribed spacer 2, and large subunit ribosomal RNA". The record is from RNAcentral.